AUGGAAGCGCUGCUCACGCUGGUGCACCUCGUGGCUGCAGCUACAUUGGAAAUCAAGACCAGCCCUUCCCCAGUAUUCUGUCUGGUGGACAAACAUAUUGAGUUGCAUUGUAAUUUUACAAUCUGGAAGAGUGUUAAAUUGGAGGAUGUGGCAGUGAAAUGGACCAUAAACAAUGAAUUUGGAGAGAAGACCGUAUACCAGUUUGAUGGAAAGCAUACGUUAUAUCACCGGAAUGGGGCCUUGGUGAAUCCUCAAUUACUAACCCAGGGCAGCGCAUCACUGAACCUGCAUAAUGUGACAUUAGAUGACGAAGGGAUCUACACAUGCACUGUUUUAAUAACCCCGCAAUACGGAAGUGGGACAAUCCAGCUCCAAGUAAGAGCUCAGCCUACAGUGUUGCUGUCACCCCAAAACCCCGAAAUUACAGCAGGGGGAGAGAAAACCUUUUCCUGUGAUGUUCAUCAAUUUUACCCUCAAGAAAUUGACAUCUCCUGGCUGGUUAGGAAGUAUGGCAGUAAACACGAGAGGCCUUUAACGCAGGAUAUCUGCACGGGAGUCCCACUGGCUCAUGAUAAAAAGGGCAUGUUCACCGUGCUGAGUCGGGUGACCCGAGAGGUGUCUGAAGAGGAUGAUGGAUCCUUGUACAUCUGUGAAGUCCGACAUGAAUCCCUGGAAAAGCCACUGAGAGGAAAUACAACCAUAUUUGUCACGACCCCAAAGCAGUAUCAUCGGGAUAUUGGGUUCAUUGUUGGAGUGGCUGCUGCUUGUAUUGUGAUAACUGGAGCGUGUAGUAUAUUUUUGACCAUAUUCUAUCGGGAACAACUUAUGAAAGUGCCACCUCAGGUUUCCUUGAUUAACAAACCAGAUGUGAUCCCGAUGAAUGAGAAGCUGAAGCUGAUGUGCAACAUAAAUGGGUUUAGACCAAAAGCGAUUAGUGUGAAAUGGUACCGGAGAACCCCCCAAAUGGCAUCAAGUGAAGCUCCUGGAGAAGCCUCUUUUCUUCUGGGUCCGAGAGACGAUAUUACAGACAAGGCAAGGCAGCCUUUGGAAACCAAUGGCAAGUUCUUCAGUGUUCCAUCCUGUCUGACCUACACACCCACCAUCCGGGAUGAUGGGGCAGUGUUUGAAUGCAGCGUUGAGCACAGCGCACUGAAAAACGUCAUAUGGAUGAGCACCACGCUGAGUGUCACAGCUCGGCCGACAAGUCUUUACAUCACUAGCUGGCCUCAGGCUCCCACGGUAGGAGAGAAGCUCAUUCUGAGCUGCGUAGUAGAGAAAUUUUACCCGAAGGAUAUCACUUUGACUUGGUUUCGAAAUGGACAACUGGUUAGCGAUGUGACACAGUUUGGACCUUUCCCUUGUGAAAUUGACUAUUUCAGUGUCUGGAGCCAGACUGAGUUUAUACUGACCAAUGAGGAGGAAGGGGCAGUUUAUAUCUGUCAGAUAAAACACAGCAGCUUUGGAAAUAUAGAAGAACUCUUCUAUGAAGUUAACUUGCAAGGGACACCCCCUGAAGUUCUCUGGAUCACCACAGACCCCUCCAUUCCUGUGGUGGGAGAGGAGCUGAGGCUGAACUGCAGGAUCAAUAACUUCUCCCCUAACGUGAUCACUGUGAACUGGUUACGAGAUGGGCAGCUCCUGCAAGCGGGAGUCUGCCAUUCAGUCUCCAUAAUGGGGGCCAAUGGUUUGCACUCCAUCUGGAGCGUUUUGAGAGUCACGCCCGGAAGGGAAGAGGAAGGAGCAGUGUUUACGUGUCGGGUGACACAUGCUGCUUUAAGGGACUCUGUAGAAAGAUCAUACACUCUGCAGCUGCCUGGUAUGUCCUGUACAGCAUGUUUGAUUGGAUAG
Non-coding RNA from Emys orbicularis (European pond turtle), 1848 nucleotides. The record is from the annotation of a RefSeq genome assembly. NCBI's taxonomy places the organism in Eukaryota, Metazoa, Chordata, Testudines, Emydidae.